CGUAGGUAACCUGCCUUGUAGCGGGGGAGUAACUAUUGGAAACGAUAGCUAAUACCGCAUAACAAUGGAUGACACAUGUCAUUUAUUUGAAAGGGGCAAUUGCUCCACUACAAGAUGGACCUGCGUUGUAUUAGCUAGUAGGUGAGGUAACGGCUCACCUAGGCGACGAUACAUAGCCGACCUGAGAGGGUGAUCGGCCACACUGGGACUGAGACACGGCCCAG
RNAcentral lists this ribosomal RNA (224 nucleotides) under uncultured bacterium. Its description in RNAcentral is "partial 16S ribosomal RNA". It matches the Rfam family "Bacterial small subunit ribosomal RNA", at positions 116 to 334 of the family's 1533-position model. The record is from RNAcentral.